This 483-nucleotide ribosomal RNA is filed under the name uncultured bacterium. RNAcentral describes it as "partial 16S ribosomal RNA". It matches the Rfam family "Bacterial small subunit ribosomal RNA", at positions 28 to 523 of the family's 1533-position model. The record is from RNAcentral.
GAUGAACGCUGGCGGCGUGCCUAAUACAUGCAAGUCGAGCGAACCACUUCGGUGGUGAGCGGCGAACGGGUGAGUAACACGUAGGUGAUCUGCCCAUCAGACGGGGACAACGAUUGGAAACGAUCGCUAAUACCGGAUAGGACGAAAGUUUAAAGGUGCUUCUGGCACCGCUGAUGGAUGAGCCUGCGGCGCAUUAGCUAGUUGGUAGGGUAAAGGCCUACCAAGGCGACGAUGCGUAGCCGACCUGAGAGGGUGAACGGCCACACUGGGACUGAGAAACGGCCCAGACUCCGACGGGAGGCAGCAGUAGGGAAUCUUCGGCAAUGGGCGAAAGCCUGACCGAGCAACGCCGCGUGAAUGAUGAAGGCCUUCGGGUUGUAAAAUUCUGUUAUAAGGGAAGAACGACUUUAGUAGGAAAUGGCUAGAGUGUGACGGUACCUUAUGAGAAAGCCACGGCUAGCUACGUGCCAGCCGCCGCGGUAA